This 459-nucleotide ribosomal RNA is filed under the name uncultured bacterium. RNAcentral describes it as "bacterial SSU rRNA". It matches the Rfam family "Bacterial small subunit ribosomal RNA", at positions 1 to 507 of the family's 1533-position model. The record is from RNAcentral.
AGGUCACUGACGAGUUUGAUCAUGGCUCAGAACGAACGCUGGCGGCAGGCCUAACACAUGCAAGUCGAGCGCCCCGCAAGGGGAGCGGCGGACGGGUGAGUAACGCGUGGGAACGUACCCUUUGCUACGGAAUAGCCUCGGGAAACUGGGAGUAAUACCGUAUGUGCCCUUCGGGGAAAGAUUAUCGGCAAAGGAUCGGCCCGCGUUGGAUUAGGUAGUUGGUGGGGUAAUGGCCUACCAAGCCGACGAUCCAUAGCUGGUUUGAGAGGAUGAUCAGCCACACUGGGACUGAGACACGGCCCAGACUCCUACGGGAGGCAGCAGUGGGGAAUCUUAGACAAUGGGCGCAAGCCUGAUCUAGCCAUGCCGCGUGAGCGAUGAAGGCCUUAGGGUUGUAAAGCUCUUUCAGUGGGGAAGAUAAUGACUGUACCCACAGAAGAAGCCCCGGCUAACUCCGUG